Schizopora paradoxa is the source of this 101-nucleotide transfer RNA. It matches the Rfam family "tRNA". From Rfam's summary of the family: Transfer RNA (tRNA) molecules are approximately 80 nucleotides in length. Their secondary structure includes four short double-helical elements and three loops (D, anti-codon, and T loops). Further hydrogen bonds mediate the characteristic L-shaped molecular structure. tRNAs have two regions of fundamental functional importance: the anti-codon, which is responsible for specific mRNA codon recognition, and the 3' end, to which the tRNAs corresponding amino acid is attached (by aminoacyl-tRNA synthetases). tRNAs cope with the degeneracy of the genetic code in two manners: having more than one tRNA (with a specific anti-codon) for a particular amino acid; and 'wobble' base-pairing, i.e. permitting non-standard base-pairing at the 3rd anti-codon position. The record is from Rfam. NCBI's taxonomy places the organism in Eukaryota, Fungi, Basidiomycota, Agaricomycetes, Hymenochaetales, Schizoporaceae.
GGCCUGAUGGUCUAGUAGUAUGAUUCCUUGUUAGGGUUUUACGUAAAAUGCUUACGUAAGCAACCUCGAGGAGGUCCCGGGUUCAAUUCCCGGUUAGGCCC